UUCAUGUCCAAAGGCCACACAAUUCCUAUCUUUGACCUUGCUCGCUUUCUUCUUUGUCGCAAAAUUUGCAUCACCAUCUUCACCACUCCUGCAAAUCGUCCAUUCUUCUCUGAUUCCCUUUCCGACACCAACAUCAAUAUCAUCGAAAUCCCUUUUCCUCAAAACAUACAAGGAGUUCCUCCAGGUGUAGAGAGCACUGAUAAACUUCCAUCCAUGUCUCUUUUUGCUACUUUUGCCAACGCCACUAAAUUGAUGAAACCCCAUUUCGAGAAGGCAUUGGAGUCUCUUCCUCCAGUUGCUUUCAUGAUUACUGAUGGCUUUCUCAGCUGGACAUUCGAUUCUGCAAACAAAUUUGGUAUCCCAAGACUCGUUUAUUUUGGCAUGAAUGCAUUUUCAAGGUCUUGACGAUGUCAGCUACUUCAGUUCUUAGGACACAAGUGUCUGAUGAUGAGCUAUUUGAAGUCCCUGAUUUCCCCUGGAUUAAAAUCACUAGGAAUGACUUUGAUUUACCCUUCAGAGACCGGGAACCCAAAGGACCCCUUUUCGAUUUUAUCAAGGAGCAAUCCACGCCGACCUCUAAAAGCUAUGGUCUACUUGUCAACAGCUUUUACGAGCUUGAAUCUGUUUAUGCAAACUGUUGUAACCGUAUAUCUAGUCCUAAAUCAUGGUGCAUUGGACCUUUAUGUGCGUUUCACGAGCCGGCAAAAGAACAACAGGGAGUCUCAGAGAAACCUUCGUACAUCAAAUGGCUUGACGGAAUGCUAGAACAGGGGAAGCAAGUUUUAUACGUGGCAUUUGGGACCCAAGCAGAGUUAUCUCCUGAACAAUUCAAGGAAAUCAAAAUUGGGUUGGAGAAAUCCCAAGUCAACUUUUUAUGGGUAGUCAGGAGAACCAUAGAUGAAACUGACGACGAGUUUGAAAACAGAGUAAAAAACAGGGGACUGGUGGUAACAGAGUGGGUUGAUCAAAGAGAAAUCCUGAGGCACAGAAGCGUUGAAGGUUUUCUAAGCCACUGCGGUUGGAAUUCAGUGAUAGAGAGCAUAUGCGCGAAGGUGCCUAUACUGGCAUGGCCAAUGAUGGCAGAUCAACACCUGAAUGCAAGAAUGGUGGUGGAGGUAAUCAAGAUUGGACUAAGGGCUGAGACGUGUGAUGGGUCAGUGAGAGGGUUCGUCAAGUGGGAAGGACUGGAAAAGUCAGCAAAGGAGUUGAUGGAAGGAGAUAUAGGCAAAGAGGCAAGGAAGAAAGUGAAGGAGAUUGGAGAAGCAGCCAUUAAUGCUGUAAAAGAAGGUGGAUCAUCAUGGCAAACGUUGAAUGAGCUGAUUGUAGAGUUAACUGAAAGUAAAAGUGUUUGAAUUGUG
Molecule: RNA transcript, 1358 nt
Organism: Solanum verrucosum
Lineage: Eukaryota; Viridiplantae; Streptophyta; Magnoliopsida; Solanales; Solanaceae
Gene name: UDP-glycosyltransferase 90A1-like
Exons: 2
Source: RefSeq, a predicted model, not a curated record